This is a long non-coding RNA of Nematostella vectensis (starlet sea anemone), 2602 nucleotides long. RefSeq lists it as uncharacterized. The transcript is spliced from 3 exons. Lineage: Eukaryota; Metazoa; Cnidaria; Anthozoa; Actiniaria; Edwardsiidae. The record is from RefSeq and is a predicted model, not a curated record.
GGGAGGGUGGUGAUUGGUCGGAAUAUGAGGGGCGGAAGUGACGUCAUAGGUGAGGGUAUUAUUAUGGGAAACACAGCGGUCAAACACUGCGCAUGCUCAAAAAUUGAAAACCAAGAUGGCGGACGUUCUACCACAUGGAAGCAUAAACAAGAGAGGAAAAUGGGAGAAAUGUGCACUUUAAUUUCUUGCCAUUGAGUAAUGUUUAUAAUCUAAAGAAAGAGAGAAGGUUCCUUUCGUCCCUGAUCAUUUAUUUUACCAAUCUAUGCUUCAGCGACUUUUAUAAGGGAUGCGAAACGAAGCGGAGUGCAGCUUUACCAACAAGGGCACCAAAAGUUCCAUGCAAAUGGCUAUCAAGGAGAAGCACUUCAUUCCCUCUUCCAAGGAAACAUACAGAUAGGCCAUUGAUUAUUACGAGUGCAGCGAUAUUGGGUUCUCUCACUAGACGCUGGAGGUAGAACCUAAGUGAUGACUGUGGGACUUGUGGAUUCUGACACACAAAGUCUACAUCAAAGGAGUCUUCUACCGUAAUUGUGCCAAUUGAAGAUAGAUGCACAGCAGCAUCUUGAACUCUGAAAUUAAUAGCCCCGGCCUCCUGUGACUUGUUGGUGAACUCUAUUUCCAUGAGAAAUGCAAUAACACAUAAUCACUCCCCAAACUGGUGACAACUGGGCAAUUGGAAAUGCAAGUGUUCCUAAAUUAGAAAUGACUGUUUUGGCUAAAAUAAUAGCAAUAAAGUGCAGGCAUUUGAUCCGUUUCGCCCAUUUAGGGUAGAUUGGGAGAUACUGUUCUCAAACAGCCAAAUUUUACAACCAGACACAUUCAAUGCCUUGUUCUCUACUGUGGUAUCAAAUGUCUUGAUAUAAAACUGAGGCUUUCCUUUUGGAGUCCCCUGCCUGGUUGUUUCUUGAGGAAGUUUUCUUGAUUGUCCUAGAUUCUGUGCAAUGCUAACAAAUAGCUUCAGCAGUGUCUCAGCUGACCUCCCAGCAAUCAAUUUUAUAUUUCUUUCUGAAUUUGUUCCUCUUAGAUAUGGUCGAAUAAAAUUUGCAAAGAAUGAUUUUGCAGUUUUUGAUGUUGUAAGACCAAUUGCUGUAUCUCUAAUCUGGUUGGCUUUGUAGUAAUCGCGUAUAUGGAAACGUAACAGGGAGUGCCAAAUCUCCACUUUUUUCUCGGUGAUGAUUGCAAGCCAUUUCUUUUUAAAGUUGUAGUAUUCGAGUAAAAAAAUUUCGUUGGUGGCAUAAAUCGUUUAACAUUGACAGGGUUGACCUGUCAUAGUGAUGGCGGUUCCAGAUGAUAAAUAGGAUCAGGAAUCUGAACAUGAUUGACUCAUAAUGUUCUAGGUCACCAGAACGGAAAAUAACUCCAUAUUGAAAAAUAAAUAGAGGGAGAACUUCAUCAAGGAUAUUGAGUAUGCAUGCAAAUUCCAUGUCUUUGCACAGUUUAAGUUUUCCAAGAACUUUAUCUCGGAUCAGUAGCCAGCCAAGGAGAGUGCCAAUCAAGACCAGAUUUGAUCUGAAUGGCUUUGGUUUCACUGGCAGGAUACCUCCAAAUACAUCUGUAUAUAUCCUUGAAAAAAAGAAGUGAUAAGUUGUUAUAAUGUCCUCUACUGCAUUCAAACUGACAUGAAAGGGUCCUUGCUCAGGAAUUAAUGAUGCAUAUAUGUUACUUUGUUGCGCAACAAGUUUCUUGAAGUAAAACCAGGUAGGCCAAUCUCCAGGGCAGGGAAGUGCAUAUUCCUUGGUGUAGUUUAAUAAUGGUUGUCCAGCACUGCUAAUUGUGUGGUCAAGUGCAAACUUAUAGUUUUCCAUGGACUUUAAUGGAUGUUCGAAUUCAUCGACUAGUCGACAACUGUUUAGCUUGCAUAGUUCUUCAUGUGCUAAGUCAUGGUAAACACAAAAUUCAUCGAGUUGACUCUGCACUGACUCUCCAUUUAGCUUUCUAUAACCUGGAACUGAGCUGAAGAAGGAAGUUUGCCACUCCUUCAACUUUUCAGCAAUGGUUAGGAGAUUUCCAACUGAGAUCCCCCAAACACAUUUUUGCAUGAUUCCAUUCAUUGAAACAGAUGGAGAAAUGAACAGCAUCAAUACUUUUAGGCACCUUUGGGGCUUUGAUAGAAGGGUGGAUAUCUAACAGUGAAGAGGUCAUAUGGGUAGCCACUGAUAGUUUCAUAUCACUCCCUGGCAGUCGCACAGUGUGAAUAUUGUGAAAGUCAUCUAUAAGCAGCAUUAUGAAGCCCUUCUCCUAUAAGAUAAAACAAAGAAAGAAAAAUAUUUAAAUUUGGAAAUUGACUAUACUUUGAAAUGUUUAUUAGUAGAAAUACACCCCCAUUCCCACCACUCUAGAAUUUCCUAAAUCCCUUCCUCAGACAUUGUGCAGUGCAUGUAAACGCUUAAUUCCUAUUCCUGUAGCAACGCACCAUGGGUAUGGUUUACGGUCCGGUACGGCGUCUGUUGUCCCCAUCUGCGGCCGUACGAAUAGGCUCAACAAUUUCUGUACUUAUCGUUAUCAACAAGUUAUGUAAAUGUAAGGAUGUAUUAUAUAUAUACUGGCUGCCCUGUAAUUCAGCUUUCGCUGCAAUAGGGUUAAUAAACACAUUAUCUAUCUA